RNAcentral lists this small RNA (9113 nucleotides) under Pan troglodytes (chimpanzee). Its description in RNAcentral is "processed transcript". The record is from RNAcentral. Lineage: Eukaryota; Metazoa; Chordata; Mammalia; Primates; Hominidae.
GCUGUGUCAUGUAUGACAGCCAUCACUCAUGGCUCUCCACUAGGAGGGAACGACAGCCAGGGCCAGGUUCUUGAUGGCCAGUCUCAGCAUCUCUUCCAACAGAACCAGACUUCAUCACCUGAUUCUUCCAAUGAGAAUUCCGUAGCAACUCCUCCUCCAGAGGAACAAGGGCAAGGUGAUGCCCCACCACAGCAUGAAGAUGAAGAUCCUGCAUUUCCACAUACUGAGCUGGCAAAGCUGGAUGACAUGAUCAACAGGCCUCGAUGGGUGGUUCCUGUUUUGCCAAAAGGGGAAUUAGAAGUGCUUUUAGAAGCUGCUAUUGAUCUUAGUGUAAAAGGCCUUGAUGUUAAAAGUGAAGCAUGCCAACGUUUUUUUCAAGAUGGACUGACAAUAUCUUUCACUAAAAUUCUUAUGGAUGAGGCUGUGAGUGGCUGGAAGUUUGAAAUUCAUAGAUGUAUUAUUAACAAUACUCAUCGCCUAGUGGAACUUUGUGUGGCCAAGUUGUCCCAAGAUUGGUUUCCACUUCUAGAACUUCUCGCCAUGGCCUUAAAUCCUUACUGCAAGUUUCAUAUCUACAAUGGUACACGUCCGUGUGAAUUAAUUUCCUCAAAUGCUCAGUUGCCUGACGAUGAAUUAUUUGCUCGUUCUUCAGAUCCUCGAUCACCAAAAGGUUGGCUAGUGGAUCUCAUCAAUAAAUUUGGCACAUUAAAUGGGUUCCAGAUUUUGCAUGAUCAUUUUUUUAAUGGAUCAGCAUUAAAUGUUCAAAUAAUUGCAACUCUUAUUAAACCAUUUGGACAAUGCUAUGAGUUUCUCAGUCAACAUACAGUGAAAAAGUACUUCAUUCCAGUUAUAGAAAUAGUUCCACAUUUAUUGGAAAACUUAACUGAUGAAGAACUGAAAAAGGAAGCAAAGAAUGAAGCCAAAAAUGAUGCCAUUUCAAUGAUUAUUAAAUCUUUGAAGAACUUAGCUUCAAGAAUUUCAGGACAAGAUGAGACUAUAAAAAAUUUGGAAAUUUGUAGGUUAAAGAUGAUACUCAGAUUGUUGCAAAUUUCCUCUUUCAAUGGAAAGAUGAAUGCACUGAAUGAAAUAAAUAAGGUUAUAUCUAGUGUAUCAUAUUAUACUCAUCGGCAUAGUAAUCCUGAGGAGGAAGAAUGGCUGACAGCUGAGCAAAUGGCAGAAUGGAUACAGCAAAAUAAUAUCUUAUCCAUAGUCUUGCAAGACAGUCUUCAUCAACCACAAUAUGUAGAAAAGCUAGAGAAAAUUCUUCGUUUUGUGAUUAAAGAAAAGGCUCUUACAUUACAGGACCUUGAUAAUAUCUGGGCAGCACAGGCAGGAAAACAUGAAGCCAUUGUGAAGAAUGUACAUGAUCUGCUAGCAAAGUUGGCUUGGGAUUUUUCUUCUGGACAACUUGAUCAUCUUUUUGAUUGCUUUAAGGCAAGUUGGACAAAUGCAAGUAAAAAGCAACGUGAAAAGCUCCUUGAGUUGAUACUCCGUCUUGCAGAAGAUGAUAAAGAUGGUGUGAUGGCACACAAAGUGUUGAACCUUCUUUGGAACCUGGCUCAUAGUGAUGAUGUGCCUGUAGACAUCAUGGACCUUGCUCUUACUGCCCACAUAAAAAUACUAGAUUAUAGUUGUUCCCAGGAUCGAGAUGCACAGAAGAUCCAGUGGAUAGAUCACUUUAUAGAAGAACUUCGCACAAAUGACAAGUGGGUAAUUCCUGCUCUGAAACAAAUAAGAGAAAUUUGUAGUUUGUUUGGUGAAGCACCUCAAAAUUUGAGUCAAACUCAGCGAAGUCCCCGCAUAUUUUAUCGCCAUGAUUUAAUCAACCACCUUCAACAAAAUCAUGCUUUAGUUACUUUGGUAGCAGAAAACCUUGCAACCUACAUGAAUAGCAUCAGAUUGUAUGCUAGAGAUCGUGAAGACUAUGAUCCACAAACAGUGAGGCUUGGAAGUCGAUACAGUCAUGUUCAAGAAGUUCAAGAACGACUAAACUUCCUUAGAUUUUUACUGAAGGAUGGCCAACUGUGGCUCUGUGCUCCUCAGGCAAAACAAAUAUGGAAGUGCUUAGCAGAAAAUGCAGUUUAUUUUUGUGAUCGUGAAGCCUGUUUUAAGUGGUAUUCCAAGUUAAUGGGGGAUGAACCAGACUUAGAUCCUGAUAUUAAUAAGGACUUCUUUGAAAGUAGUGUGCUUCAGCUUGAUCCUUCCCUUUUAACUGAAAAUGGAAUGAAAUGCUUUGAAAGAUUUUUCAAAGCUGUCAAUUGUCGAGAAAGGAAACUAAUAGCAAAAAGAAGAUCCUAUAUGAUGGAUGAUUUGGAAUUAAUUGGACUAGACUACCUUUGGAGGGUUGUGAUUCAGAGUAGUGACGAGAUUGCCAACAGAGCUAUAGAUCUUCUUAAAGAGAUAUACACAAACCUUGGCCCAAGAUUAAAAGCCAAUCAGGUGGUUAUCCAUGAAGACUUCAUUCAGUCUUGCUUUGAUCGUUUAAAAGCAUCGUAUGAUACACUGUGUGUUUUUGAUGGUGACAAAAACAGCAUUAAUUGUGCAAGACAAGAAGCCAUUCGAAUGGUUAGAGUAUUAACUGUUAUAAAAGAGUACAUUAAUGAAUGUGACAGUGAUUAUCACAAGGAAAGAAUGAUUCUACCUAUGUUGAGAGCAUUUCGUGGCAAACACCUCUCUCUUAUAGUUCGGUUUCCAAACCAGGGCAGACAGGUUGAUGAGUUGGAUAUAUGGUCUCAUACGAAUGACACAAUUGGUUCAGUACGGCGAUGUAUUGUUAAUCGUAUUAAAGCCAAUGUAGCCCACACAAAAAUUGAACUUUUUGUGGGUGGUGAGCUGAUAGAUUCUGAAGAUGACAGAAAGCUAAUUGGACAAUUAAACUUAAAAGAUAAAUCUCUAAUUACAGCCAAACUUACACAAAUAAAUUCCAAUAUGCCAGCAAGUCCUGAUAGCUCUUCCGAUUCCUCAACUGCAUCUCCUGGAAACCACCAUAAUCAUUACAAUGAUGGUCCCAAUCUAGAGGUGGAAAGUUGUUUGCCUGGGGUGAUAAUGUCAGUGCAUCCCAGAUACAUCUCUUUCCUUUGGCAAGUUGCAGACUUAGGUAGGAACCUGAAUAUGCCACCUCUUAGAGAUGGAGCAAGAGUACUUAUGAAACUUAUGCCACCAGAUAGAACAGCUGUAGAAAAAUUACGAGCUGUUUGUUUGGACCAUGCAAAACUUGGAGAAGGCAAACUUAGUCCACCCCUUGACUCUCUUUUCUUUGGUCCUUCUGCCUCCCAAGUUCUAUACCUAACAGAGGUAGUUUAUACCUUGUUAAUGCCUGCUGGUGUGCCUCUAACUGAUGGGUCCUCUGACUUUCAAGUUCACUUCUUGAAAAGUGGUGGCUUACCUCUUGUACUGAGUAUGCUAAUAAGAAAUAACUUCUUGCCAAAUACAGAUACGGAAACUCGAAGGGGUGCUUAUUUAAAUGCUCUUAAAAUAGCCAAACUGUUGUUAACUGCGAUUGGCUAUGGCCAUGUUCAAGCUGUAGCAGAAGCUUGUCAGCCAGUUGUAGAUGGUACAGACCCCAUAACACAGAUUAACCAAGUUACUCAUGAUCAAGCAGUGGUGCUACAAAGUGCCCUUCAGAGCAUUCCUAAUCCCUCAUCUGAGUGCGUACUUAGAAGUGAGUCCAUACUUCUUGCUCAGGAAAUAUCUAAUGAGGCUUCAAGAUAUAUGCCUGAUAUUUGUGUAAUUAGAGCUAUACAGAAAAUUAUCUGGGCAUCAGCAUGUGGGGCAUUAGGACUAGUUUUUAGCCCAAAUGAAGAAAUAACUAAAAUUUAUCAGAUGACCACCAAUGGAAGCAAUAAGCUGGAGGUGGAAGAUGAACAAGUUUGCUGUGAAGCACUGGAAGUGAUGACCUUAUGUUUUGCUUUACUUCCAACAGUGUUGGAUGCACUUAGUAAAGAAAAAGCCUGGCAGACCUUCAUCAUUGACUUAUUAUUGCACUGUCCAAGCAAAACUGUUCGUCAGUUGGCACAGGAGCAGUUCUUUUUAAUGUGCACCAGAUGUUGCAUGGGACACAGGCCUCUGCUUUUCUUCAUUACUUUACUCUUUACCAUACUGGGGAGCACAGCAAGAGAGAAGGGUAAAUAUUCAGGCGAUUAUUUCACACUUUUACGGCACCUUCUCAAUUAUGCUUACAAUGGCAAUAUUAACAUACCCAAUGCUGAAGUUCUUCUUGUCAGUGAAAUUGAUUGGCUCAAAAGGAUUAGGGAUAAUGUUAAAAACACAGGUGAAACAGGUGUCAAAGAGCCAAUACUGGAAGGCCACCUUGGGGUAACAAAAGAGUUAUUGGCCUUUCAAACUUCUGAGAAAAAGUGUCACUUUGGUUGUGAAAAAGGAGGUGCUAAUCUCGUUAAAGAAUUAAUUGAUGAUUUCAUCUUUCCUGCAUCCAAAGUUUACCUGCAGUAUGUAAGAAGUGGAGAACUACCAGCUGAGCAGGCUAUUCCAGUCUGUAGUUCACCCGUUACCAUCAAUGCCGGUUUUGAGCUACUUGUAGCAUUAGCUAUUGGCUGUGUGAGGAAUCUCAAACAGAUAGUAGACUGUUUGACUGAAAUGUAUUACAUGGGCACAGCAAUUACUACUUGUGAAACACUUACUGAGUGGGAAUAUCUGCCCCCUGUUGGACCCUGCCCACCAAAAGGAUUUGUGGGACUCAAAAAUGCUGGUGCUACGUGUUACAUGAACUCUGUGAUCCAGCAGCUAUACAUGAUUCCUUCUAUCAGGAACAGUAUUCUUGCAAUUGAAGGCACAGGUAGUGAUUUAGACGAUGAUAUGUUCAGGGAUGAGAAGCAGGACAGUGAGAGUAAUGUUGAUCCCCGAGAUGAUGUAUUUGGAUAUCCUCAUCAAUUUGAAGACAAGCCAGCAUUAAGUAAGACAGAAGAUAGGAAAGAGUAUAAUAUUGGUGUCCUAAGACACCUUCAGGUCAUCUUUGGUCAUUUAGCUGCUUCCCGACUGCAAUAUUAUGUACCCAGAGGAUUUUGGAAACAGUUCAGGAUUUGGGGUGAACCUGUUAAUCUCCGUGAACAACAUGAUGCCUUAGAGUUUUUUAAUUCUUUGGUGGAUAGUUUAGAUGAAGCUUUAAAAGCUUUAGGACACCCGGCUAUACUAAGUAAAGUCCUAGGAGGCUCCUUUGCUGAUCAGAAGAUCUGCCAAGGCUGCCCACAUAGGUAUGAAUGUGAAGAAUCUUUUACAACUUUGAAUGUGGAUAUUAGAAAUCAUCAAAAUCUUCUUGAUUCUUUGGAACAGUAUAUCAAAGGAGAUUUAUUGGAAGGUGCAAAUGCAUAUCAUUGUGAAAAAUGUGAUAAAAAGGUUGACACAGUAAAGCGCCUGCUAAUUAAAAAAUUGCCUCGGGUUCUUGCUAUCCAACUCAAACGAUUUGACUAUGACUGGGAAAGAGAAUGUGCAAUUAAAUUCAAUGAUUAUUUUGAAUUUCCUCGAGAGCUGGAUAUGGGACCUUACACAGUAGCAGGUGUUGCAAACCUGGAAAGGGAUAAUGUAAACUCAGAAAAUGAGUUGACUGAACAGAAAGAGCAGUCUGACAAACUGCAGGAGGCACAAAGUACAGACUUGUAGGAGUGCUUGUACACAGUGGUCAAGCAAGCAGUGGGCAUUAUUAUUCUUACAUCAUUCAAAGGAAUGGUAAAGAUGAUCAGACAGAUCACUGGUAUAAAUUUGAUGAUGGAGAUGUAACAGAAUGCAAAAUGGAUGAUGAUGAAGAAAUGAAAAAUCAGUGUUUUGGUGGAGAGUACAUGGGAGAAGUAUUUGAUCACAUGAUGAAGCGCAUGUCAUAUAGGCGACAGAAGAGGUGGUGGAAUGCUUACAUACUUUUUUAUGAACAAAUGGAUAUGAUAGAUGAAGAUGAUGAGAUGAUAAGAUAUAUAUCAGAGCUAACUAUUGCAAGACCCCAUCAGAUCAUUAUGUCACCAGCCAUUGAGAGAAGUGUACGGAAACAAAAUGUGAAAUUUAUGCAUAACCGAAUGCAAUAUAGUUUAGAGUAUUUUCAGUUUGUGAAAAAACUGCUUACAUGUAAUGGUGUUUAUUUAAACCUUGCUCCAGGGCAGGAUUAUUUGUUGCCUGAAGCAGAAGAAAUUACUAUGAUUAGUAUUCAGCUUGCUGCUAGAUUCCUCUUUACCACUGGAUUUCACACCAAGAAAAUAGUUCGUGGUCCUGCCAGUGACUGAUGUUUCUGUUUUAGGUAUGAUGCACUGUGCGUUCUUCUCCAUCACAGCAAAAAUAUACGUUUUUGGUUUACUCAUAAUGUCCUUUUUAAUGUAUCAAAUCGCUUCUCUGAAUACCUUCUGGAGUGCCCUAGUGCAGAAGUGAGGGGUGCAUUUGCAAAACUUAUAGUGUUUAUUGCACACUUUUCCUUGCAAGAUGGGUCUUGUCCUUCUCCUUUUGCAUCUCCAGGACCUUCUAGUCAGGCAUGUGAUAACUUGAGCUUGAGUGACCACUUACUAAGAGCCACACUAAAUCUCUUGAGGGAAGUUUCAGAGCAUGGACGUCAUUUACAGCAAUAUUUUAAUUUGUUUGUAAUGUAUGCCAAUUUAGGUGUGGCAGAAAAAACACAGCUUCUGAAAUUGAAUGUACCUGCUACCUUUAUGCUUGUGUCUUUAGACGAAGGACCAGGUCCUCCAAUCAAAUAUCAGUAUGCUGAAUUAGGCAAGUUAUAUUCAGUAGUGUCUCAGCUGAUUCGUUGUUGCAAUGUGUCAUCAACAAUGCAGUCUUCAAUCAAUGGUAAUCCCCCUCUCCCCAAUCCUUUCGGUGACCCUAAUUUAUCACAGCCUAUAAUGCCAAUUCAGCAGAAUGUGUUAGACAUUUUAUUUGUGAGAACAAGUUAUGUGAAGAAAAUUAUUGAAGACUGCAGUAACUCAGAGGAUACCAUCAAAUUACUUCGCUUUUGCUCUUGGGAGAAUCCUCAGUUCUCAUCUACUGUCCUCAGCGAACUUCUCUGGCAGGUUGCAUAUUCAUAUACUUAUGAACUUUGGCCAUAUUUAGAUCUACUUUUGCAAAUUUUACUGAUUGAGGACUCCUGGCAGACUCACAGAAUUCAUAAUGCACUUAAAGGAAUUCCAGAUGACAGAGAUGGGCUGUUCGAUACAAUACAGCGCUCGAAGAAUCACUAUCAAAAACGAGCAUAUCAGUGCAUAAAAUGUAUGGUAGCUCUAUUUAGCAGUUGUCCUGUUGCUUACCAGAUCUUACAGGGUAACGGAGAUCUUAAAAGAAAAUGGACCUGGGCAGUGGAAUGGCUAGGAGAUGAACUUGAAAGAAGACCAUAUACUGGCAAUCCUCAGUAUAGUUACAACAGUUGGUCUCCUCCAGUACAAAGCAAUGAAACAGCAAAUAGUUAUUUCUUAGAAAGAUCACAUAGUGCUAGGAGGACACUUGCAAAAGCUUGUGAACUCUGUCCAGAAGAGGAGCCAGAUGACCAGGAUGCCCCAGAUGAGCAUGAGCCCUCUCCAUCAGAAGAUGCCCCAUUAUAUCCUCAUUCACCUGCCUCUCAGUAUCAACAGAAUAAUCAUGUACAUGGACAGCCAUAUACAGGACCAGCAGCACAUCACUUGAACAACCCUCAGAAAACCGGCCAACGAACACCAGAAAAUUAUGAAGGCAAUGAAGAAGUAUCCUCACCUCAGAUGAAGGAUCAGUGAAAAGCAAUAAUUAACUGCUUCCUUUAUGACCAUGCACUAAGGUCUUACAGUCCAAACUUUCUCCAUGUCUGGCUAGUAUUGAAAACUAGAUAAACUGCUCCAAACCAACAUGGAGUAAAGAGCAUAUUCACUGUCUCAUUUGCAGUAAUCUGCAAUUUGUCAGUGUAUAAGACACAUGCAGGGUGAAGUGUACAGAGUUUUGUAACAAAUGACUGGUCCUAAUCUGUAAAUGAGAAAGGUAUAUAUACUAUGUUAAUGUCUGACUAUUAAUUCUUAAGCAAGAAACUGUUUUUGAUGAAAAUAAGUCAGAUCUACACAGUCACACAAUUAUUUUUUGUUGUGUUCACUACAUUGUGCAAUUGAUAUUGCCUGCUUUGAGCAGUUUGGUCAACUUACCAACUUCCCCCCAAAAAAGGGAACAUAAAAGAGCCCAUCUUUGUCAGUUUACACCAAUAGUUUCUUGUUAAUCCUUCUUUCCUGGAUAUAUAAGGCUGGUGGUAACUUUUGAAUUAUAUGGUUGAUGUGGAAAAUUGGCAGUGUAACAUUUCUAGAUACUUUUCAUUACCUUUUUAUUCUGGUAUAUAGGCUAACCACUUUAAAGUUAUUCUUAUGCUGUAACAGUUAGCAUGGCUUCACACUGUUUGUGUAGCCAAGAGGACAGAAUUACAUGAAUGACAGUGCCCAGAGUGACAGCUGUAUAUUGCUCAGAGCUUUUAUUUCUUAUACCUAGAAUAAAUAUAAAAUGGGGGGAAAAUGUGACAGACAAGCAGUUUUUCAUUGCAUACAUGUUCUUCACAUUUAAUGUUUGAUAGUUCAAUUUCUUGAUGAGCUGAAGAAUAUCAAAGUAUCGAUAAUAGGAAUUUUAAAAUAUUAAAACCAAUACGCAAAAUUUUCCUAUGUCAGAAUGUGGUGGAGCAUAAUAGAUUGUAUUUGGUGUGCUUGCGAUUUUUUUUUCCAUAGAAUUUAUUAAGUGAAGUUUCUAAAACUUUGCUUCUCCUGAUCCCGGUGAAGUGUACAUCAUAAGAAUCCACAGUACUUUGAAGUACCAUUGCACCAAGAUGUCUGACUGAAUUCGUAGUCACACUUUUAUUUGAAAGAAAGAAUUGUUGUAGUUUUUUUUCAUUAUUCUAAAACUCUUGUUGUUAGAUACAAGAUUUAAUUAAGAUCUAAGCUCUUGCUUAUUUAAUGUAAUUCUAAGGUACCAUUUUAGAAAAAACGUUUGUUUUAAGAUUCCAAGAAACCUGUGAGUUAAUACUAUAUUUAAAAGAGAAUUGGUAAAUUUUGAAUGUGUGUAAUAUUUUGGAACCUGUUUAAAAACCAAAUAUACCUGCAAAUAGAUACAGCCUAUCCUAUACUAUUUAAAUGUUUGGCUGUUUUGUUUUAUAGAAAUUAUUUUGCUGAAUUCACAAAUAAAAUUUAAGAAGA